Molecule: small nucleolar RNA, 106 nt
Filed under: Gossypium barbadense (sea-island cotton)
Lineage: Eukaryota; Viridiplantae; Streptophyta; Magnoliopsida; Malvales; Malvaceae
Also listed under: 2 other names
Description: Plant small nucleolar RNA R71
Rfam family: Plant small nucleolar RNA R71
About the family: R71 is a member of the C/D box family of snoRNAs containing the C (UGAUGA) and D (CUGA) box motifs. Multiple nearly identical copies of this snoRNA have been identified in Arabidopsis, and it is thought to function as a 2'-O-ribose methylation guide for 18S ribosomal RNA.
Source: Rfam by way of RNAcentral
AUCCCAUGAUGAGGAUACUUACGAAGCAAUUCCUUGAAUCUUUCCCACACCUCAUAUAAAGACUUGUCAUCUAAUUGUUGGAAAGUAAUUAUCUCAUUAUGCAGUU